Oncorhynchus nerka (sockeye salmon) is the source of this 320-nucleotide long non-coding RNA. RefSeq lists it as uncharacterized. The record is from RefSeq and is a predicted model, not a curated record. The transcript has 3 exons. Lineage: Eukaryota; Metazoa; Chordata; Actinopteri; Salmoniformes; Salmonidae.
GGCGUGGUUGGUCCUGGUGGUUGUGGUCAUGUUGACCGUCCUCACCACGGUCCUGGGUCUGAUCUACUGGAGGACUCGCUGCUGUCGAAAGGAGCCCAGAGUGUAUCCAGCCAGUGUGUUCCAGACCAGAGGAUUCAACACGGACCUCCCUGAUGUCUCUGUUUCACUAAAUCACUCCUCAGGUACCUCUCUCUCCCCCCUCCCAGAGGAGCCCAGUGUGUUCCAGACCAGAGGAUUCAACACGGACCUCCCUGAUGUCUCUGUUUCACUAAAUCACUCCUCAGGCCUGUUGUCACCUAUUCAUGAAGAGAAGACUGCAG